RNAcentral lists this transfer RNA (82 nucleotides) under Pseudomonas bijieensis. Its description in RNAcentral is "Pseudomonas sp. L22-9 tRNA-Gly". It matches the Rfam family "tRNA". Rfam says of the family: Transfer RNA (tRNA) molecules are approximately 80 nucleotides in length. Their secondary structure includes four short double-helical elements and three loops (D, anti-codon, and T loops). Further hydrogen bonds mediate the characteristic L-shaped molecular structure. tRNAs have two regions of fundamental functional importance: the anti-codon, which is responsible for specific mRNA codon recognition, and the 3' end, to which the tRNAs corresponding amino acid is attached (by aminoacyl-tRNA synthetases). tRNAs cope with the degeneracy of the genetic code in two manners: having more than one tRNA (with a specific anti-codon) for a particular amino acid; and 'wobble' base-pairing, i.e. permitting non-standard base-pairing at the 3rd anti-codon position. Lineage: Bacteria; Pseudomonadati; Pseudomonadota; Gammaproteobacteria; Pseudomonadales; Pseudomonadaceae. The record is from RNAcentral.
AAUGGGGUGGUGGAAUUGGUAGACACGCCGUUUUACCAAAUCGGUGCCGAAAGGCGUGCGGGUUCGAGUCCCGUCCCCCCUA